AUACGGAGGGUGCGAGCGUUAAUCGGAAUUACUGGGCGUAAAGCGCGCGUAGGCGGUUGCGUAAGUCGGAUGUGAAAGCCCAGGGCUCAACCCUGGAAUUGCAUUCGAUACUGCAGAGCUAGAGUAUAGUAGAGGGAAGUGGAAUUCCGGGUGUAGCGGUGAAAUGCGUAGAUAUCCGGAGGAACACCAGUGGCGAAGGCGGCUUCCUGGACUAAUACUGACACUGAGGUACGAAAGUGUGGGGAGCAAACAGGAUUAGAAACCCCGGUAGUCC
RNAcentral lists this ribosomal RNA (274 nucleotides) under uncultured bacterium. RNAcentral's name for it is "partial 16S ribosomal RNA". It matches the Rfam family "Bacterial small subunit ribosomal RNA", at positions 523 to 796 of the family's 1533-position model. The record is from RNAcentral.